Molecule: ribosomal RNA, 424 nt
Filed under: uncultured bacterium
Lineage: Bacteria
Description: bacterial SSU rRNA
Rfam family: Bacterial small subunit ribosomal RNA
Source: RNAcentral
UUGGGAAUCUUGGACAAUGGGGGAAACCCUGAUCCAGCCAUGCCGCGUGAGUGAUGAAGGCCUUCGGGUUGUAAAACUCUUUCGCGCACGACGAUAAUGACGGUAGUGCGAGAAGAAGCUCCGGCUAACUUCGUGCCAGCAGCCGCGGUAAUACGAAGGGGGCUAGCGUUGUUCGGAAUUACUGGGCGUAAAGCGCGCGCAGGCGGCUAUCCAAGUCAGUGGUGAAAGCCCGGAGCUCAACUCCGGAACUGCCAUUGAAACUGUUUAGCUUGAGGACGAGAGAGGUGAGUGGAAUUCCCAGUGUAGAGGUGAAAUUCGUAGAUAUUGGGAAGAACACCGGUGGCGAAGGCGGCUCACUGGCUCGUUUCUGACGCUCAGGCGCGACAGCGUGGGGAUCAAACAGGAUUAGAUACCCCCGUAGUCC